Molecule: long non-coding RNA, 632 nt
Organism: Passer domesticus (house sparrow)
Lineage: Eukaryota; Metazoa; Chordata; Aves; Passeriformes; Passeridae
Exons: 4
Source: RefSeq, a predicted model, not a curated record
UUAACCCCCAGAGUAGGAAAUCCUGGGCAGGUGCAAUAGUGAUUUGUGUGGGUGACAGCUCUUUACUUUGACAAUCCCGGCCUGAUUCAUGGUUCAAGAGCUUCUGCAUGGCCCAGGGUGAGAGGCUGCAGAGGCAGGGAAAGGCUGUCCUGGGAGGUCAGUGCUGCUAAGGGAUUGCAGGAUUUGCACUCUCAGCUCAAAGCAAUUUCUUUCAGCCACUGCAGUGUUUCAGGUGAUAGAUGGUUUGGAAAAUGUGAGCAAAGAAGAAUCCAAGAAAUGCAUUCCAGUGGUACUGCUUUUCUUCAUCAUUUCAUUCAGUUUGCCUGAUCCCAGAAGAGUAAAUUGUGUACAGGGAAAAUCAUCAUUGUUAAACCCUCCCCAGACAUUAGAGAAAAAUUGCCUUGGAAGAUCAGGAAUAUUUGAAAAUGGAGUUCUGUAUGAGUGGUGCUCCAGUUCUGGGACUGAUUACCUUUAAAGUCUUCUAUGAAGCUGAGCAUAUGGGUCCUUAUCCCAAGGUGGAGCUGUACAAUCAUGUCAAUUCAAAAGAGGAGUGCACUCCCUGGCCUUGUGGCUGUGAGACUGCCAUGGAUUUCCUACACCUCCUGAUUUCUGGAAAGGACUACAUACCCUGC